RNAcentral lists this ribosomal RNA (501 nucleotides) under uncultured Veillonellaceae bacterium. Its description in RNAcentral is "partial 16S ribosomal RNA". Lineage: Bacteria; Bacillati; Bacillota; Negativicutes; Veillonellales; Veillonellaceae. The record is from RNAcentral.
CACGUAGUUAGCCGUGGCUUCCUCGCCGGGUACCGUCAUUACACAAUGCUGUUUGCAUUGCCUACAUUCGUCCCCGGCAACAGAGCUUUACGAUCCGAAGACCUUCUUCACUCACGCGGCGUUGCUCCGUCAGGCUUUCGCCUAUUGCGGAAGAUUCCCCACUGCUGCCUCCCGUAGGAGUCUGGGCCGUGUCUCAGUCCCAAUGUGGCCGUUCAUCCUCUCAGACCGGCUACUGAUCGUUGCCUUGGUAGGCCCUUGCCCCACAACUAGCUAAUCAGACGCAGACCCAUCGCAAAGCGAUCGCUUACAAGUGAGGCCAUCUUUGCUGGAUUUCCAUGCGGAACUUCCAGAACAUUCGGUAUUAGCAGUCUUCGAACUGUUCGUCCCCAUCCUUUGCGGUCUAGGUUGUCUACGCGUUACUCACCCGUUUUGCCUACUCGAACGUUUUAAAAGCAAGUCUUUUAAUUGUCUCGUUCGACUUGCAUGUGUUAGCUACGCCGC